This 689-nucleotide ribosomal RNA is filed under the name Kocuria sp. Its description in RNAcentral is "bacterial SSU rRNA". It matches the Rfam family "Bacterial small subunit ribosomal RNA", at positions 56 to 754 of the family's 1533-position model. Lineage: Bacteria; Bacillati; Actinomycetota; Actinomycetes; Micrococcales; Micrococcaceae. The record is from RNAcentral.
UGCAGUCGACGCUGAAGCUUGGUGCUUGCACUGGGUGGAUGAGUGGCGAACGGGUGAGUAAUACGUGAGUAACCUGCCCUUGACUCUGGGAUAAGCCUGGGAAACUGGGUCUAAUACUGGAUACGACAUGUCACCGCAUGGUGGUGUGUGGAAAGGGUUUUACUGGUUUUGGAUGGGCUCACGGCCUAUCAGCUUGUUGGUGGGGUAAUGGCUCACCAAGGCGACGACGGGUAGCCGGCCUGAGAGGGUGACCGGCCACACUGGGACUGAGACACGGCCCAGACUCCUACGGGAGGCAGCAGUGGGGAAUAUUGCACAAUGGGCGAAAGCCUGAUGCAGCGACGCCGCGUGAGGGAUGACGGCCUUCGGGUUGUAAACCUCUUUCAGCACGGAAGAAGCGAAAGUGACGGUACGUGCAGAAGAAGCGCCGGCUAACUACGUGCCAGCAGCCGCGGUAAUACGUAGGGCGCAAGCGUUGUCCGGAAUUAUUGGGCGUAAAGAGCUCGUAGGCGGUUUGUCGCGUCUGCUGUGAAAGCCCGGGGCUUAACCCCGGGUGUGCAGUGGGUACGGGCAGACUUGAGUGCAGUAGGGGAGACUGGAAUUCCUGGUGUAGCGGUGAAAUGCGCAGAUAUCAGGAGGAACACCGAUGGCGAAGGCAGGUCUCUGGGCUGUUACUGACGCUGAGGAGC